Nerophis lumbriciformis (worm pipefish) is the source of this 1757-nucleotide RNA transcript. It is a transcript of the gene named peptidylprolyl isomerase Fb, with no coding region annotated. The record is from RefSeq and is a predicted model, not a curated record. Lineage: Eukaryota; Metazoa; Chordata; Actinopteri; Syngnathiformes; Syngnathidae.
AUGUCACAUUUGGCAACAGCUUGAGUUUACUUCCGUUUUGGCCGUAAACACUUCCUGUUCCCCUACCUUGUAAAAGCGUGUUUGACUUUAGCGUGAGUGACGUGAACUGACUUUGUGACGAAAAUAUUAAAAAACGAGAAAAUGCUGCUAAUAUCCAACCGCGCUAAGUUGUGUUCGCUGGCGUUCACUGCCGCUCGGAUGUACAGCAGCGGGCCGGCUGUUGCCAACAACAACCCGACAGUUUUCUUCGACAUUUCGGCGGACAACGAGACACUCGGCAGGGUAACCUUUGAGCUUAACGCGGAAGUGGUGCCUAAAACUGCAGAAAACUUCCGGGCCCUGUGCACGGGGGAGCAUGGAUUUGGAUUCAAGGGAUCCAUUUUCCACCGGGUCAUCCCUCAGUUUAUGUGCCAGGGUGGAGAUUUCACAAACCACAACGGGACCGGCGGGAAGUCCAUUUACGGAUGGAAGUUUCCGGAUGAGAACUUCAAACUGAAGCACACUGGACCUGGAAUCCUCUCAAUGGCCAAUGCCGGACCUAACACUAAUGGAUCCCAGUUCUUCAUCUGCACCGCUAAAACCGAAUGGCUGGACGGCAGACAUGUCGUCUUCGGCAGCGUGAAAGAGGGAUUGGACGUGGUGAAAAAAGUGGAGUCCUUCGGCUCUCGCUCGGGCCGCACCUCGAAGAAGAUCACCAUCGCCGACUGCGGCGAACUCAAGUAGAAAACUCCUGUGGUUUUCUUUCCUGCCGUUUGGUGUCCUGCUGGGCUGCAUUAAAAUUUCCUUCGAAAAUCUGCUUGAGGAUGAAAUGAUUGCCCAUCGGGCACAUCCUGGCCAUCAGUCAUGCCGUCAUUACCCGCCGUGCCUAACCAAUGUCAGGCAUCUCCCCUCAGCAAUGAUCAAUGGGCGAGCGCAGCUGCACGUGAAGCGCCGCCUUGUAUUUCUCGGUGUGUUUCAGGGACCGAGGUCGUGCCCGGUUCCGCCGGGGAGGGGGGCUAUCGUCUUUCAUUAAGGGCCAGGCGAGCGCUGAGAUUCGAUCUGGCAUCUGCAGCUCGUUACCAAAGCAAAUAUGCGCUGAGAAGGAAAAUGCACGAGUGACUUCUAACGUAUAGCUUUUUAUUUGAUAAGCAAGUAUGCUUGGAGUCCUUUUAUGUGCUUGGGGCAGCAAAGUAGUAACACUAGCGUAAGCUAAAGUGCUAACAUUACAUACGAGCUAAAGUGCUAACAUUACACUGACAUUUUAGCCUAUUUGCCAACAAAAAACAAAAAGAUCAUACAUACCGUAUGUCUGUAGCUGAUUGAAGUUUUAUUUUAAUAUGUGUAGCGAAGCCUGCUUUAAAAAAAAAAAAAAAAAAAAAAUUACACAGUCGUGGGUGUACACACUAGGUGGGCUAAUCUAGCUUGCUGUCCAUGACUUUCUUUCAAAAAUAAAGCAAACAAGUAAGGGAGGUUAUCAAUUUUUGUCACAUUUGGUGCUCAUAAAUAAGAGUGCCCAAACUUAAUGCCUCCAAGGGCCAAGGGGAAAACGUGAUUAUGGACAAAAACAGUCAUUUUACGAGCUUAAAUGUAAAUAAUAAAAUCAAAACUUUUCACUUCAUAUAUGUUACCGAUAUUGGGGCCUUGAGUAUUGGCCGAUGGCAAUAUUAACACAGUAUGAUAUCAACAGGAGUCAUACUUUUAUUAUAUUGUAGUGUGGAAUGUUAGAACAAGUUUGAUCAAGUGAAAUUACUCAAACAGAGAACAAUGGUAGGUAGAAG